This 253-nucleotide ribosomal RNA is filed under the name uncultured bacterium. RNAcentral describes it as "partial 16S ribosomal RNA". It matches the Rfam family "Bacterial small subunit ribosomal RNA", at positions 524 to 776 of the family's 1533-position model. The record is from RNAcentral.
UACGGGGGGGGCAAGCGUUGUUCGGAAUUACUGGGCGUAAAGGGCUCGUAGGUGGCCAACUAAGUCAGACGUGAAAUCCCUCGGCUCAACCGGGGAACUGCGUCUGAUACUGGGAGGCUUGAAUCCGGGAGAGGAAUGCGGAAUUCCAGGUGUAGCGGUGAAAUGCGUAGAUAUCUGGAGGAACACCGGUGGCGAAGGCGGCAUUCUGGACCGGCAUUGACGCUGAGGCGCGAAAGCCAGGGGAGCAAACGGG